UACAGAGGUCCCAAGCGUUGUUCGGAUUCACUGGGCGUAAAGGGUGCGUAGGUGGUGAGGUAAGUCGGAUGUGAAAGCUCGGAGCUCAACUCCGAAAUGGCAUUGGAAACUACCUUGCUCGAGGGUUGGAGGGGGGACUGGAAUACUUGGUGUAGCAGUGAAAUGCGUAGAUAUCAAGUGGAACACCAGUGGCGAAGGCGAGUCCCUGGACAACUCCUGACACUGAGGCACGAAAGCUAGGGGGGCAAACAGG
RNAcentral lists this ribosomal RNA (253 nucleotides) under uncultured bacterium. RNAcentral describes it as "partial 16S ribosomal RNA". It matches the Rfam family "Bacterial small subunit ribosomal RNA", at positions 524 to 776 of the family's 1533-position model. The record is from RNAcentral.